GUGAGCCACUGCGCCUGGCCCUGGAGUUGUUACUUUGAUGGAAGCAGCUUCCAGAACUGAUUAGACCACAAUUUACUUUCUACAUUCCACUUGCCUCUCUCUUGUCUUUUUCUACCUGGCCUCGGUUAAUUCCUUCUCUGCCAAUUGUCAUCACAUACACUGAAAGAAUCAUAGUGUGGUGGCUAAAAGUAUAACUCUAGAGCUCACUUCUCUUUCUUGUUGUAAAACUUUUAAACCAGAGAUAAUGCAACAAUUCUCUUUGACUCCCUUCUCCUACAAAUCCACUAGCUGCCCCAGAGAUUAAGACUAUCCCUUUGGUAUAUAUUUUUUUCUAAGUCUUUUCCUAUGCGUUUUUCCAUUGUGUUUAAAAAAUUCCUAACUUAUUCUGGACACUUCUUUCUUGGUCAUUCUCACA
This 415-nucleotide long non-coding RNA is filed under the name Homo sapiens (human). RNAcentral describes it as "non-protein coding lnc-MBL2-6:2". Lineage: Eukaryota; Metazoa; Chordata; Mammalia; Primates; Hominidae. The record is from RNAcentral.